Long non-coding RNA from Octopus sinensis (East Asian common octopus), 89 nucleotides. RefSeq lists it as uncharacterized. The record is from RefSeq and is a predicted model, not a curated record. The transcript is spliced from 4 exons. Lineage: Eukaryota; Metazoa; Mollusca; Cephalopoda; Octopoda; Octopodidae.
GCAAAAACUUACACUUGCAUGGCUUAAGCUUUGAGACAAGCAUAUGACUACUGGCAGGAUCAACCAGGUGGUAAAGGACAGAAGAAAAA